UGCCCAGCAACUCAUAUCCCUACCUCCUCGUGGUACUGGCCGGGGUACGAGUAACCUUAGGUAAGAUAUGGUAACCAAUCCUAGUGGGAACUUUGGUCGUAUGCUGACAGGGAAGG
RNAcentral lists this ribozyme (116 nucleotides) under Aedes aegypti (yellow fever mosquito). Its description in RNAcentral is "drz-agam-1 ribozyme". It matches the Rfam family "drz-agam-1 ribozyme". The record is from Rfam by way of RNAcentral. Lineage: Eukaryota; Metazoa; Arthropoda; Insecta; Diptera; Culicidae.